This 460-nucleotide ribosomal RNA is filed under the name Macrophomina phaseolina. RNAcentral's name for it is "eukaryotic LSU rRNA". The stretch from base 153 to 306 matches the Rfam family "5.8S ribosomal RNA". Lineage: Eukaryota; Fungi; Ascomycota; Dothideomycetes; Botryosphaeriales; Botryosphaeriaceae. The record is from RNAcentral.
CCCACCCUUUGUAUACCUACCUCUGUUGCUUUGGCGGGCCGCGGUCUUCCGCGGCCGCCCCCCGAUUUUGGGGGGUGGCUAGUGCCCGCCAGAGGACUAUCAAACUCCAGUCAGUAAACGUUGCAGUCUGAAAAAAAUAUUAAAUAAACUAAAACUUUCAACAACGGAUCUCUUGGUUCUGGCAUCGAUGAAGAACGCAGCGAAAUGCGAUAAGUAAUGUGAAUUGCAGAAUUCAGUGAAUCAUCGAAUCUUUGAACGCACAUUGCGCCCCUUGGUAUUCCGGGGGGCAUGCCUGUUCGAGCGUCAUUUCAACCCUCAAGCUCUGCUUGGUAUUGGGCACCGUCCUUUGCGGGCGCGCCUCAAAGACCUCGGCGGUGGCGUCUUGCCUCAAGCGUAGUAGAAUACACCUCGCUUCGGAGCGUAAGGCGUCGCCCGCCGGACGAACCUUCUGAACUUUUCU